GAAUGCUCCCCUGAUGAGUUUUCUGGUUUAAUUUUUUCUUAGGGAGGCUGUAAUAAACAAGAUAACUGGAUUUCACAAAAGAAAACCUAGAUUCAACCCCUGGCUCUGCCACCAGCUAGCUGUAUGAUUCAGCCUAUGACUUCACCUUCCUCAGUAUUAGUCUCCAGAUCUGUAUAAUAGUGAUAAUCAUCCCUGCUCUGCCUAACCUCAUGAAAUUGUUAUGAAGAUUGAAUGGCAAAUAAGAAGAAGACUCAAGAGCCAAGCAUUAAGAGAAACAUCUUCUGAGUGACAAGUCUUGAAAGCCUAUCAAGAAGUAGCAAUGGGUAUCUAUGAGAUGUGGACUAUAAGGAAAUCUGAAUGCCACCGAACUGAUGCUAUUGAAUUGUGGUCCUAGAGAAGACUUUUGAGAGUUCCUUAUACAGAAAAGAGGUCAAAUCAUUCUAUACUUAA
Molecule: long non-coding RNA, 450 nt
Organism: Phascolarctos cinereus (koala)
Lineage: Eukaryota; Metazoa; Chordata; Mammalia; Diprotodontia; Phascolarctidae
Source: RefSeq, a predicted model, not a curated record